Molecule: non-coding RNA, 337 nt
Organism: Pogona vitticeps (central bearded dragon)
Lineage: Eukaryota; Metazoa; Chordata; Lepidosauria; Squamata; Agamidae
Source: RefSeq, a predicted model, not a curated record
UUCUCCUUAGCAACGGGAAUGUUGAAGCGGUUGCUAAGGGGGAUGAAGGAGAUGCCCUGGGGAAGGCCGCAUAUGGCAGAGACAGGAGACAACGGCAUUUCUUAGCAACAGCCAAAGAACCAACAUCACAAAGGAUCUAAGCUUCCCGAGCACAGGGAAGGGCUGUUUUUUCCACAGCCACAACCAAGAGAAAUGGAUUUGGAUUUUCUGGGAGGAAACGGCAAUUAUCCACCUCAAUUUGUCGUGGACAUUCCUAGUAUUGAGGACCUGGAAGAAAGCCUGAGAAAACUUAAGGUCCAAGUGGACAACCUGGCCUCCAGUCUGAAUUUCCACCCAA